RNAcentral lists this Y RNA (96 nucleotides) under Prolemur simus (greater bamboo lemur). RNAcentral's name for it is "Y RNA (ENSPSMG00000011782.1)". It matches the Rfam family "Y RNA". Rfam says of the family: Y RNAs are components of the Ro ribonucleoprotein particle (Ro RNP), in association with Ro60 and La proteins. The Y RNAs and Ro60 and La proteins are well conserved, but the function of the Ro RNP is not known. In humans the RNA component can be one of four small RNAs -- hY1, hY3, hY4 and hY5. Lineage: Eukaryota; Metazoa; Chordata; Mammalia; Primates; Lemuridae. The record is from Rfam by way of RNAcentral.
GGCUGGCCCAAUGGUAGUGGGUUAUCAGAACUUAUUAACAUUAGUGUCACUAAAGUUGGUAUACAACCCUCCACUGCUAAAUUUGACUGACUUUAA